Non-coding RNA from Ilex paraguariensis (yerba mate), 86 nucleotides. Lineage: Eukaryota; Viridiplantae; Streptophyta; Magnoliopsida; Aquifoliales; Aquifoliaceae. The record is from the annotation of a GenBank genome assembly.
GCCUUCUUCUUGGCCGAGUUAUCUAAGGCGCCACACUCAAGUUCUGCUCUUCGUGAACGUCGUGGGUUCAAAUCCCACUGCUGGCA